Molecule: ribosomal RNA, 252 nt
Filed under: Pseudoxanthomonas sp. 10-7A4
Lineage: Bacteria; Pseudomonadati; Pseudomonadota; Gammaproteobacteria; Lysobacterales; Lysobacteraceae
Description: partial 16S ribosomal RNA
Rfam family: Bacterial small subunit ribosomal RNA
Source: RNAcentral
GUCCCGCAACGAGCGCAACCCUUGUCCUUAGUUGCCAGCACGUAAUGGUGGGAACUCUAAGGAGACCGCCGGUGACAAACCGGAGGAAGGUGGGGAUGACGUCAAGUCAUCAUGGCCCUUACGACCAGGGCUACACACGUACUACAAUGGUGGGGACAGAGGGCUGCAAACCCGCGAGGGUGAGCCAAUCCCAGAAACCCCAUCUCAGUCCGGAUUGGAGUCUGCAACUCGACUCCAUGAAGUCGGAAUCGC